CCCCAUGCACAAGAGCUGACUGUGGCUCUGGGAAGGCAUUUUACUCAUUUGCUUUCUUUUUUCUUAUAGUCUUCUUGUCCAGUUCUCAGGUGUUUACCACCUAUUUGAAUUCACCUGUGUGGGUACUGUGUUUGAGAAAGUCCCAGGACUUGACAGCCGUAUAGGCCUCAUAAAAGGCAGCUCUGUUCUGGGUUUGAAAGAACUGUCUUAAUGCUUUGUGGAAAUGCUUCUGGGGGUGCUGCAUGGAAUGAAGGACCGCAGUUAAAAGCUAGGGCUAGGACUUGGAGGAUGUGUAGGCAAACGGAAGGAGAGCCGGGGGAAGAAAAGCCGAAAUGGAUUCAUUCUCCGUCCUGGCUGGAGGAGGAGAGGAGCGGGGACGUGCGGGCUGCCUGCAGCUGCCUCUGUCCGGUGAGAAGUGCUCCCAGCCCCGCGGCUGACUCGGGCUCAGGAGUCCGCGCGGACUUUCGCUCUAAGCUGCCAAUCAAACCGCUAACCGCCACCACCCUGCGCCGGCACCGACAUGAGCUGAGGCACUGUGUUGUGCCAGAGCCACCUCUGCAGACCCCUCGGCCACCUCAGCCCUGAGCAUUGGCUGAACACAUCUGGAUAUUUCUAUUCAGCUCUGCAAACAGACAGAGAUACUCCAAGACUGCGUGUGAGACCAGAUGACGUGAAACUUUCUACCAUUAAACCCCUGUUCAGCUGUAGUCCAGAAGCGGGCAGCCCACAGCAGCUUGGGGAUGCUGACAGAAGAAGUCGAAAUGUUUUCAGCCAAACCGAUUUCUUGCCGGCAGCUUCGGAUGCUUUAGCUGGAACCAGAGCAGCCCAAGGAGCGAAGCAAACAAUUAAAACAUUUACAUGUUUGCUUCUUGAUAGACAUCUCUACGAGGCGAGAUUCUAUGAAGCCUGAGUGACUUCAGAAGGAGAAACUUAUUAGAAGAAAUCUUUGCCAUUACAUGUAUAGAAGAAUUAUGAUGGUGGUGCCCUGCUGUUGAUCAGUCAAAUCUGUGGUGGGCCUAGAGAUAAGUCCUGUAAGUGUGGUGUACUGUAAAACAGCGGCUCCCAUUCAUUAGUGGCUUGUGUGUAAUAAACCACCCAAUGGAGGGGGAUGGGGAAGAGAGGGAAAGAGCAGCUGCAGUGUGCAGGAACAAACAACACAACUCAUUCUUGGGAGCCAAAACUUUCUAAUUUGCUGCUGGGCUGCUGGGAGCACUCAAAUUCUUUCUGAUAAUGUGCUCGUGCCCUCGGUGUCUCUCUCUGUGUUUCUGCUCUCCAGAAUCUGGAAUAGUUUCACUCCAAACAACAAACGUGGACGCUGCUGAACAGGGAGGAGGAGGGGAACACAGCCACCCAGUGUUUGCAGACUCCAGCACAGCAAAGUGGUGGACUCGAGGCAAGUUCUGCCAUGGAAUGGCUGCUGCACGUAUCUGCUUGUGCAGUGGGUAAACAAGGCAUCACAUGGGCUGCAGGCUGAGCACGAGGCGCGUGGCUGACCUAUACGUGUAUGAGGCAUGCUGGAGGAACAGCGUAUUCCAAACGUUGUUAGAGCCUGGUGGGAUAUUCGGGAACUUCCCUCAAAAAGCUCAAACAAAACAAACGUCAAAUUGAUUGUAACUGAAAAAUUAUUUGGCUUAAUUUCUCCUGUUUUUGCACAAGUUCCAGUGAGUAUUUACAUAAGCGUAUUUCUACAUUGCCUUGCAUUGGAAAUGGCUUGUAAGUAUGUUCAUCAAGAUGUCAGUCAAUUAUAACUUGUUGCACCUGUUUGGACCUCAGUAGUUACUAAUUGUAACUGUGGAUUUUCAGCUGUGACUGUGCUGGUGCUCAGCCCCAGAUCUGACUGCCCAUAGGACAAUAUUUCGAACUAGAAAUUAAAAUCACUGUGUGUGUUUCACAACUGCUCUCAUAGACCAAACCUUUGUGCUAGAGCUUGUACUGUCACGAGAAAGGGAAAUUAAUUUUGGAUUGAUGCUGCUCAGAAGGACCAUUAUACCCUUGCAGGAUCACACUGACUGCUUUUUCAGUGAUGUGCCAGGCUGUGAUGGUGCUUGGACUGUCUCCUAACAUUUCUAUAGACAAGGGCUACUUAAACAGCAACUUCAGGCUUGGGCCAAACUGCAAGUGCUCUUUAUGUAGACAGGCGAAGUGUCAGACACAAAGUUUUUCACUUUAGUGCAGGAGAUCCACUCGCUUUCUCUUCCCUGACCUGGAGACCCGUGCCAGGCAUUGCCUGAGUCUUAACCCUUCAACAGGAGGUGUCUCUCUGACACCUUGGCCAUAGUACCUAAUGGGUGCAGGUAAUGGGUGGCCAGUCAGACCUGGCCAAAUCCUGUGCUAGAUCUGAGCACAAACCAGUUCUACCAAAGGUUUAGGCAGUGAAGGAGCUGAAACUGGCUGCUUACCUGCCAAGCUUUUGUUCUUACACUUGGGACAUUGCAAAUAGCUGAGAAGUCCUGAAGUUUUUGUGUCUAACCAGAUGAAACUGGGGGAAAUGAAAUAUUUCUUACCAAACUGAGGCAAAAUGUGCCUUACUGAUCUAUAAGGCAGUCUAAUAAUUUUGGGUUCAAAGAUGUCUAGUGUUGAAUUAUUAAAUGACUCAAUCUGGUUUUCUUUUAGAAAGGGUGAGUUAGUGAUACUAAUCUAUCAGCUGGAUCCAAACUAUUACAAAAACUGUCCUAGAAAAUAGAAUGAGAAAUAGACCAAAAACUCAGAACUCAGUCUUGCAAAUAAAAUAACAUUUUGUGACUGGUUGUUCACUAAUACGUGUGAAAGAAGGGCUACAUGUUACAUGUCUUUUGUUGUUGACAGUGUGCCCAAUGCUGUAUGAUAAAUGUUUGAAUAGUAUCACCUUCUGUUCUGCCUCCUUCACCUACAGGAGCAGCUGUGGUGGUGAAGGGGCAGCGUGAGGCACGGCCAGCCCUGACUUCCUGCAGGUGUCCAUCCGGCACCUGAACCUCGGGCAGCACCGCGUCUGUGUCCUGUGCCUGGAACCAUGCAAGAACAAAGUUUGUUCUAAACGUGAAUUUAAUGUGCUUUCAGGUUUGACAGCCUCUUUUAAAAGGAAACGUUUAAGUUGAGCGAAAGGCACAUUUGUCUCUCCAAAUAAAUGGAAUUAUGGUUCAAAGAUCUGACUUAAUCCCGAGGCUCUUGCACUGUGCAGUAAGUAGGAAAGAAAGGGGAUUGCUCCGAGGAGCAGGGGUUAGCAGGAUCAGGGGCUGUUUUAUAUCAUCUCAUUUUCCUUCUGGUAUUUAAUAUACUUUCUUCUCAACUUGCACUGGCUGCUUGUAAAAAGACCCAGCAGUAUCAUAGAUUAACUAAUGGCAAAUAAACUAUUAAUUGAAACUAAUGAAGGAUGGUACAGGGAGUUCCCAUCCAGCUUUCCUGCUAGGAAAAUUUGAUUAUUGUUAAGCAAACAAAAAUGCCAUUCUUCCAGAUGUAUUCUCUCAUAUGGUUUCAUCCUUUUUCAGUUCAUUUCAGGACUUUUCUCAAGUGCAUUUUACUUGUUAUAACUAUUUGCUCUUUUUCUACUUAAAAAAAAGAAAGUAUAUACAAGUGUGUUUUAAAAUCUACAUUGACAUUUCAGUGAUUUGAAGGAAGAUGUUUACACAGUAACAGUGCCGUCUAUAUUUAUUGUAUCUCUGCAAACAAAAGUUCUGAUAAGAUUAAAAUAUGUAUGUGAUGGG
Molecule: long non-coding RNA, 3680 nt
Organism: Lagopus leucura (white-tailed ptarmigan)
Lineage: Eukaryota; Metazoa; Chordata; Aves; Galliformes; Phasianidae
Exons: 7
Source: RefSeq, a predicted model, not a curated record